CAUAAGCACGUAUCCUUACCUGAAUACAUAGGGUAAGGAGGCGAACCGGGGGAACUGAAACAUCUAAGUACCCCGAGGAAAAGAAAUCAACCGAGAUUCCGAAAGUAGCGGCGAGCGAAAUUGGACUAGCCCUUAAGCUUUACACGCGUUAGACGAACGGUCUGGAAAGUCCGACGAUACAGGGUGAUAGUCCCGUAGUUGACGACGUGUGUUCAGUGAAAUCGAGUAGGGCGGGACACGUGAUAUCCUGUCUGAAUAUGGGGGGACCAUCCUCCAAGGCUAAAUACUACUGACUGACCGAUAGUGAACCAGUACCGUGAGGGAAAGGCGAAAAGAACCCCUGUGAGGGGAGUGAAAUAGAACCUGAAACCGUGUACGUACAAGCAGUAGGAGCAGGCUUUGUCCUGUGACUGCGUACCUUUUGUAUAAUGGGUCAGCGACUUAUAUUCAGUGGCAAGGUUAACCAUCUAGGGGAGCCGUAGGGAAACCGAGUCUUAACUGGGCGUUCAGUCUCUGGAUAUAGACCCGAAACCAGGUGAUCUAGCCAUGGGCAGGUUGAAGGUUGAGUAACAUCAACUGGAGGACCGAACCGACUAAUGUUGAAAAAUUAGCGGAUGACUUGUGGCUAGGGGUGAAAGGCCAAUCAAACCUGGAGAUAGCUGGUUCUCCCCGAAAGCUAUUUAGGUAGCGCCUCGGACGAAUACUACUGGGGGUAGAGCACUGUUAAGGCUAGGGGGUCAUCCCGACUUACCAACCCUUUGCAAACUCCGAAUACCAGUAAGUACUAUCCGGGAGACACACGGCGGGUGC
RNAcentral lists this ribosomal RNA (810 nucleotides) under Vibrio parahaemolyticus. RNAcentral's name for it is "partial 23S ribosomal RNA". It matches the Rfam family "Bacterial large subunit ribosomal RNA", at positions 139 to 998 of the family's 2925-position model. Lineage: Bacteria; Pseudomonadati; Pseudomonadota; Gammaproteobacteria; Vibrionales; Vibrionaceae. The record is from RNAcentral.